GUCUAUGGCCAAGCCAGCCUGAACAAGCCUGAUCCUGUCUGAUCUUGGAAGCUAAGCAGGGUCAGGCCUGGUUAGUACUUGGAUGGGAGACCACCUAGGAAGACCAGGUGCUAUAGGUG
This 119-nucleotide ribosomal RNA is filed under the name Pteropus alecto (black flying fox). Lineage: Eukaryota; Metazoa; Chordata; Mammalia; Chiroptera; Pteropodidae. The record is from RNAcentral.